Molecule: long non-coding RNA, 459 nt
Organism: Strigops habroptila (Kakapo)
Lineage: Eukaryota; Metazoa; Chordata; Aves; Psittaciformes; Psittacidae
Exons: 3
Source: RefSeq, a predicted model, not a curated record
CUGAUGGAGUGCUGUGGUCCCUCCGUGAGUGGGGGGGGAAGCGAGGGGAGUGAGUGAGCAGCUACGUGGUUCUGAGUUACUGGCUGGGCUUAAACCACGACACCCAGCAUGAGCUGAGGAUAAAAACCAUGUAAUGGAAGAUGCCACCUUUUAGCCUCUGCACCCCUAACCCUUAAAUAGUGGCCAAAAAUGUGGAGUAAUUCACAUUAGAAGCUAUAAAUACAUAGAAUUCUGUUAUUCAGUCAUGUUAAAAAAAGUUGAAAAGCCUGCGAACUGGAACAUGGUUGCUAAUGUAUAAGAAUACAUUUCUAAAGAGCAUACUCUUAUUUUAGUAAAAUCCUCAGUUAUUUGAAGAGCAGCAUAUGUUAACUCAACUAAAACCAACCCACUGUUACAAUACUGUGUGUGUACAGUACAAGUACGCAUAUCUCCCCCACCCUGAUCACCUGUUGAUGAACU